GUAUCUGUAGAAAGGUCAAUUGGUUAGAACAUGGUGCUGAUAAUGCCAAGGUUGCAGGUUCAAUUCCUAUAUAGGACA
This is a non-coding RNA of Podarcis lilfordi (Lilford's wall lizard), 78 nucleotides long. Lineage: Eukaryota; Metazoa; Chordata; Lepidosauria; Squamata; Lacertidae. The record is from the annotation of a GenBank genome assembly.